GAUGAACGCUGGCGGCGUGCCUAAUACAUGCAAGUCGAGCGAACGGACGAGAAGCUUGCUUCUCUGAUGUUAGCGGCGGACGGGUGAGUAACACGUGGAUAACCUACCUAUAAGACUGGGAUAACUUCGGGAAACCGUAGCUAAUACCGGAUAAUAUUUUGAACCGCAUGGUUCAAAAGUGAAAGACGGUCUUGCUGUCACUUAUAGAUGGAUCCGCGCUGCAUUAGCUAGUUGGUAAGGUAACGGCUUACCAAGGCAACGAUGCAUAGCCGACCUGAGAGGGUGAUCGGCCACACUGGAACUGAGACACGGUCCAGGCGCCUACGGGAGGCAGCAGUAGGGAAUCUUCCGCAAUGGGCGAAAGCCUACCGGAGCAACGCCGCGUGAGUAAUGAAGGUCUUGGGAUCGUAAAACUCUGUUAUUAGGGAAGAACAUAUGUGUAAGUAACUGUGCACAUCUUGACGGUACCUAAUCAGAAAGCCACGGCUAACUACGUG
Molecule: ribosomal RNA, 497 nt
Filed under: uncultured bacterium
Lineage: Bacteria
Description: partial 16S ribosomal RNA
Rfam family: Bacterial small subunit ribosomal RNA
Source: RNAcentral